UAACGCGUAGGUAACCUGCCUUGUAGCGGGGGAUAACUAUUGGAAACGAUAGCUAAUACCGCAUAACAAUGGAUGACACAUGUCAUUUAUUUGAAAGGGGCAAUUGCUCCACUACAAGAUGGACCUGCGUUGUAUUAGCUAGUAGGUGAGGUAACGGCUCACCUAGGCGACGAUACAUAGCCGACCUGAGAGGGUGAUCGGCCACAUUGGGACUGAGAUACGGCCCAG
Molecule: ribosomal RNA, 228 nt
Filed under: uncultured Streptococcaceae bacterium
Lineage: Bacteria; Bacillati; Bacillota; Bacilli; Lactobacillales; Streptococcaceae
Description: partial 16S ribosomal RNA
Rfam family: Bacterial small subunit ribosomal RNA
Source: RNAcentral